CAGUAGCCGCGGGAAUACGGAGGGAGCUAGCGUUGUUCGGAAUAACUGGGCGUAAAGGGCGCGUAGGCGGAUCUUUAAGUCAGGGGUGAAAUCCCAAGGCUCAACCUUGGAACUGCCUUUGAUACUGGAGAUCUUGAGUCCGGGAGAGGUGAGUGGAACUGCGAGUGUAGAGGUGAAAUUCGUAGAUAUUCGCAAGAACACCAGUGGCGAAGGCGGCUCACUGGCCCGGUACUGACGCUGAGGCGCGAAAGCGUGGGGAGCAAACAGGAUUAGAUACCCGGGUAGUCCCUGUCUCUUAUAC
Molecule: ribosomal RNA, 301 nt
Filed under: uncultured bacterium
Lineage: Bacteria
Description: partial 16S ribosomal RNA
Rfam family: Bacterial small subunit ribosomal RNA
Source: RNAcentral